RNAcentral lists this ribosomal RNA (1009 nucleotides) under Mustela nivalis (least weasel). RNAcentral's name for it is "12S ribosomal RNA". It matches the Rfam family "Bacterial small subunit ribosomal RNA". Lineage: Eukaryota; Metazoa; Chordata; Mammalia; Carnivora; Mustelidae. The record is from RNAcentral.
CAAAGGUUUGGUCCUGGCCUUCCUAUUGAUUAUUAACAGAAUUACACAUGCAAGUCUCUACAUCCCGGUGAAAAUGCCCUCUAAAUCUACUUAUCGAUUAAAAGGAGCGGGUAUCAAGCACACUAAUUAGUAGCUCAUAACGCCUUGCUCGACCACACCCCCACGGGAUACAGCAGUGAUAAAAAUUAAGCCAUGAACGAAAGUUUGACUAAGCCAUGUUAACACAGAGAGCUGGUAAAUUUCGUGCCAGCCACCGCGGUCAUACGAUUAGCCCGAACCAAUAGGCAAACGGCGUAAAACGUGCCGCGGUCAUACGAUUAGCCCGAACCAAUAGGCAAACGGCGUAAAACGUGUUAAGGACUAUAUUAUACUAAAGUUAAAAUUUAGCAAGGCCGUAAAAAGCUACUGCUAAUACAAGAUAAACCACGAAAGUGACUUUAUUACCUCCAACGACACGAUAGCUGAGACCCAAACUGGGAUUAGAUACCCCACUAUGCUCAGCCCUAAACAUAAAUAAUUCUCACAACAAAAUUAUUUGCCAGAGAACUACUAGCAAUAGCUUAAAACUCAAAGGACUUGGCGGUGCUUUACAUCCCUCUAGAGGAGCCUGUUCUAUAAUCGAUAAACCCCGAUAAACCUCACCACUUCUAGCUAAAUCAGUCUAUAUACCGCCAUCUUCAGCAAACCCUUAAAAGGAAGAAAAGUAAGCACAAUAAUAAUACAUAAAAAAGUUAGGUCAAGGUGUAACCCAUGAAGUGGGAAGAAAUGGGCUACAUUUUCUAAUCAAGAACACACUCACGAAAGUUUUUAUGAAAAUUAAAAACUCAAGGCGGAUUUAGUAGUAAAUUAAGAAUAGAGAGCUUAAUUGAAUAGGGCCAUGAAGCACGCACACACCGCCCGUCACCCUCCUCAAGCAAUACACCCAAACACUACAUAAUAAAACUCACUCAAAGCAAGAGGAGACAAGUCGUAACAAGGUAAGCAUACUGGAAAGUGUGCUUGGGUAAAU